RNAcentral lists this ribosomal RNA (254 nucleotides) under uncultured bacterium. RNAcentral's name for it is "partial 16S ribosomal RNA". It matches the Rfam family "Bacterial small subunit ribosomal RNA", at positions 524 to 776 of the family's 1533-position model. The record is from RNAcentral.
UACGGGGGGAGCAAGCGUUGUUCGGAUUUACUGGGCGUAAAGGGCGCGUAGGCGGUCAGCACAAGUCAGUUGUGAAAUCUCCGGGCUUAACCCGGAAAGGUCAACUGAUACUGUGCGACUAGAGUGCGGAAGGGGCAACUGGAAUUCUCGGUGUAGCGGUGAAAUGCGUAGAUAUCAAGAGGAACACCUGCGGCGAAGGCGGGUUGCUGGGCCGACACUGACGCUGAGGCGCGAAAGCCAGGGGAGCGAACGGG